GGCAGAGGUUGGCAUUCGGUCCCAGAAUGCUAAUGGUUAGGGAGGGCACUAUAGAUGGGCACAGAGCACAGUCUCUCGAGCCAGCUAGGCUGCGGGAUCAGGGUUAUAAAUCCUUGCCAAGAAGAUCAUGGAAGGCAUGAGGUUCUCAUAAAUCAUCAUCAGGAAGGACAAAAUGUGAUCAGCCAGCUUCCUGCUCUGACUAUCUGCUGUCACACCUUCCCUUUUAAGGACUGUCUCUCUGGAACUAACAGACUCCAGCAAACUCUUCUAUGGCUGUGAGACCUUAGAGAGAAGGUUCUGGUCAGAUCCAGGAUGCCUAUGGGUCUGAUGGAUGUCCCAGCACUUGGUCAAUAUGCAGGACAUGUCCGGUAUAAACCAUGCUUCGAUGAGACGAGAUGCGGGUGAGGUCACCAUGCUCUUCAAAGAUUUUGCUGAUGCCCAGGCGGGACAGAACCUUCUUCAUGUUGUAAGUAGCCGAGAUGUGGAGCCUGGGCACCCACACAUCUACCACUCUGUGGAGGAGAGAAGGACUGGGAUGAAGAAAAGUGUUCUCUGAUCAUCCAGGGUGGGUUCCUGGAAAGACGGUGGGUGAGACUUUUAUCCUCCCUGCAUCGAGCCUCAUGAGUCUUUCUGUCCUCAGAGUAGGAGAGGUUCAACUCUUGGAUUCAAGGUGCCUCAUAGUCUCUGACUACAUCCUGCUUCCUACCCAACUUCCUACAGAGCCCAUAUCCACUAGAAACAUCCUCAGGCUCCUUCCCCAUGUUUAUGACCUCCCCACAGCACACUGAGCUGUGCUGUACCCUGAGUCAGAUUAAAGCCCUGCAAGCCUG
Non-coding RNA from Rattus norvegicus (Norway rat), 830 nucleotides. NCBI's taxonomy places the organism in Eukaryota, Metazoa, Chordata, Mammalia, Rodentia, Muridae. The record is from RefSeq and is a predicted model, not a curated record.